GGGCAACAGAGUGCAUUCAGGAGAGCUGUUGGAAAAUAGUGCGUGCCAGGAGGGAGGGAAUGUGUUUGAGUGUGUGUUUUUGAAACAUCCUACAUGUGAAACGCCUCAUUGCUCAUGAAACCUGAGAUGGCCUCUCUUUCUAAGGACGGGGUGCCGUGUGUGAACUUUAGAAAUGUAUCUUUGGUGAAAAUGAAAAUCCUUCUGCAAGCAAUAAGAUAGAAUGCAUUAACCUGGGCUACAGUCUGUCUCUUCAUAGUCCAGAUGAGUUCCUUAGAGACACAAUUUUCUUACACUGAUUACACUCUUUCUUUGUUUGCCGAGACGGACAGCAGGACCAGGUGCUUGCAAAAAGUCCAUUCACCUAGAUCACAGGUUUGCGUGUGUGAGAUCCAACAGUGUUGUGCAACAGUCGAUUUUGUACACAAUGAAGAAUGUAACCCAAAGGAACACGCAGAGAGAAAGGCCCUAUCAGAAAAAAUACUUCUGACGGCAGUUCUGAGUGGAAUGAGAUCUGCCAUGUCUCUUUGUUGCACCCUCGAAGAAACCAACAGGAAGUUUUUGCAGAUGAAAAUGUCCUGGAAAAUGUCAGUGAGGGCCGCAGGGAAGGAUGCUGUGAAAGAGACAGAGAUAAAAAGACACCAAAAGCUGCUCUCACUGCCAAACUGCCAUUUUGGAUUGUAAAUCAAAAUGCCUUUCAACUGUCUUUAAAUGAUGUUUAUGUGAGUUUUGCUGUCCUUGCUAUCACGCCCCAUGGUUCUGUGCACCUCUGGGUUACGCACCUGCUGAAAUACACUAACACGUGCACGCACGCACUCACGCACGCACUCACACACACACAUAGUAAUGAAAACAGAAUUUACCUCCCAGCUUCAAUAGAGGAUCUGGCUCUGUUUUCUCUCACAUUAAAAUGUCACCAUCCCUUUCAACUGACUGCUGUUUUUGUUCCAACUCACUUGGCUUAUUGGGCCCAUUCAGUUUCAUAUCAAUGUUCCACUUUGUUUAAAAUGCACGUCCUCCAACAAUCAGUAAACGUCCUUUUAAGCCUUUUGUUAGCAUUAGUGAAAGAAAAGCAAUGUGUUAGCAAUUAGCAUGCUUGUCCUUACGGUAGAGUGUCCCCCCUGGUAGGCCUGGGGUUGACGUGCUUUGACAGCCAGGCUUACUGUGGCCUGGCCAGUGCUCUUGUGCUGUUUGAACAGGGAGGUGGAGACACCCUGAAUGCCUGCCGCUCAGCACUCGGCCAUAAUUCAAUUACACUGAGCUGGCCGCGGAGGCCAAGUGGAUAGCCUACACACACACACACACACACACACAGACACACAUACACACACACACAUAUACCUUUCCACUUAAACACUCCUGCAUGGCUUGCUAAUGACACAAUCGCACGACAGACACACGCAGUCCGUUGACCACACACUCACACACAGCAUGGCAUUGCUUUACAAGCACAUGACUUCAUACCACAGAAAGGUAGAUUACAACAGAUCCAGGCAGUUUGUGUGUGUCUGUCCUACAGCUAGGACUGUAGCAUGUACUGUCAUACAGCUUCUGUUCAAGCCAGACAUUUGUUUUGGUGGAAGCCAUUUUAGUUUCUAGUCUCCACCAUGUUGGUUGCCAGACUCUAAUUGAAUUAUCCCCCAGGUUGGUCAGCCAAGACCUGGGUACCAUUGGGAGCAUUGCGCUAAUGCAACAUCAGUGUCAUGCCAAAAUCCUGGUGUGUGUGACAAUCUGAGAUAGAUUAGCCCACAGGAUCAACAGCCUUGUCUGGCGCACAUAACUAAUGUCUACUGGUAGGCCAAUUAUCAAAAUGGAUAGAUAUGGAGUAAAUGUGAAUACCCUCCGGGGGGGGGGGGGUAUGUUUAUAAUGAUAUUGAUGAAAAAAAGAAAAAAACAUUAUACACCAUGUCAAGUUUCCCUUGCUAUGAUUCAACAUAAAUAGUAUGUAGCUACUUCUGAAAAAUAGGCUAU
This is a long non-coding RNA of Hypomesus transpacificus, 1968 nucleotides long. RefSeq lists it as uncharacterized. Lineage: Eukaryota; Metazoa; Chordata; Actinopteri; Osmeriformes; Osmeridae. The transcript has 3 exons. The record is from RefSeq and is a predicted model, not a curated record.